UUCCUUUAAAUAUGUGGCUUUUCAGCAGGACAGUGGCCAUGGAAAUUGGAAUCUGCCAAGGAGUUAUGUAACAACUCACCUGCUGAAUCAACUAGCACUGAAAAUAGAUGGCAUUGGA
RNAcentral lists this non-coding RNA (118 nucleotides) under Canis lupus familiaris (dog). Its description in RNAcentral is "Eukaryotic large subunit ribosomal RNA". It matches the Rfam family "Eukaryotic large subunit ribosomal RNA", at positions 1210 to 1332 of the family's 3401-position model. The record is from Rfam by way of RNAcentral. Lineage: Eukaryota; Metazoa; Chordata; Mammalia; Carnivora; Canidae.